Molecule: unclassified non-coding RNA, 403 nt
Filed under: soil metagenome
Description: partial contains 5.8S ribosomal RNA, internal transcribed spacer 2, and large subunit ribosomal RNA
Rfam family: 5.8S ribosomal RNA (bases 1-121)
Source: RNAcentral
GAUGAAGAACGCAGCGAAAUGCGAUAAGUAAUGUGAAUUGCAGAAUUCAGUGAAUCAUCGAAUCUUUGAACGCACCUUGCGCCCUUUGGCUAUUCUGAAGGGCAUGCCUGUUUGAGUAUCGUGAACACCUCAACUCUCAUGGUCUGCCAUGAUGAGCUUGGACUUUGGGGGUCUUGCUGGCCUACUGUCAGCUCCUCUCAAAUGAAUCAGCUUACCAGUGUUUGGUGGCACCACAGGUGUGAUAACUAUCUACGCUUGUGGUUUUCCAUCAGGUAACCUUCAGUGAUGGAGGUUCGCUGGGGCUCAUAAAUGUCUCUCCUCAGUGAGGACAGCUUUUUUGAACGUUUGAUCUCAAAUCAGGUAGGACUACCCGCUGAACUUAAGCAUAUCAAUAAGCGGAGGA